UAGUCCACGCCGUAAACGAUGGUCACUAAUUGUUGGGACGUUUGUUUCAGUGAUUAAGAGAAAUUGAUAAGUGACCCACCUGGGGAGUACGAUCGCAAGAUUGAAACUCAAAGGAAUUGACGGGGGCCCGCACAAGCGGUGGAGCAUGCGGUUUAAUUCGAUGAGACGCGAGGAACCUCACCAGGGCUUAAAUGUAAGUUGCAUGAUUUAGAGAUAGAUCUUUCUUCGGGCUACUUACAAGGUGCUGCAUGGUUGUCGUCAGCUCGUGCCGUGAGGUGUCAGGUUAAGUCCUAUAACGAGCGCAACCCCUACCGUUAGUUGCCAGCAUGUAAAGAUGGGGACUCUAGCGGGACUGCCAGUGCAAACUGUGAGGAAGGUGGGGAUGACGUCAAAUCAUCACGGCCCUUACGUCCUGGGCUACACACGUGCUACAAUGGUACAGACAGAGAGCAGCCACUACGCGAGUAGGAGCGAAUCUUCAAACUGUAU
This 489-nucleotide ribosomal RNA is filed under the name uncultured bacterium. RNAcentral describes it as "bacterial SSU rRNA". It matches the Rfam family "Bacterial small subunit ribosomal RNA", at positions 791 to 1286 of the family's 1533-position model. The record is from RNAcentral.